This 253-nucleotide ribosomal RNA is filed under the name uncultured bacterium. RNAcentral describes it as "partial 16S ribosomal RNA". It matches the Rfam family "Bacterial small subunit ribosomal RNA", at positions 524 to 776 of the family's 1533-position model. The record is from RNAcentral.
UACGGAGGGUGCGAGCGGUAAUCGGAAUUACUGGGCGUAAAGCGUCCGUAGGCGGCUUGUUAAGUCUGAUGUGAAAGCCCUGGGCUUAACCUGGGAACGGCAUUGGAUACUGGCGAGCUAGAGUUCGGUAGAGGGUGGUGGAAUUCCCGGUGUAGCGGUGAAAUGCGUAGAGAUCGGGAGGAACGCCGGUGGCGAAGGCGGCCACCUGGACCGAGACUGACGCUGAGGGACGAAAGCGUGGGAAGCAAACAGG